GCUCCCGCCCGCUCCCGGCUGCCCUUUUCCUCCGCGGCCUCUGCCGAGGCUGUUGUGUCCUGCGGAGCUCCGAGCACGUGUAGUGCCCAGCUGCCAGUUUGAGGAGAUGCCUGUCCUGGAUGACUUGAAAGUAGAGUGGUCAUCGACAGGCUGAAAGAAGUAAUGAUCCACAACAGGGCGCAUGUGUGGUUCUCAGAUCUGAAUGAGAUCUGCCUCCAUCAGGACUUCAGGUUUCUGACAACACCCUGUUUUGAGUAAUGUACAUGGUCUCUGUAAUGUAGAGGUACUUCAGUUCAGAUGGGGAAAAUUAAGUUUGCUUUAGAGGAUUACAGAACUGUGAUUCCAGAGAAUGCUUGUAAAGUCCAGCUACCCUUUGGCAGAUGAAGCAGUGAAGGAGCCCACACCCAUGGCCUCUGAGUUACAUCUCCAGCUAUAAUUUUUAGAGGGACUAGAUGAUGUCUGUGUACAUGUGGCUGGCUACUUGCUAAUUAAAAAGUAAGUGAUUUUCAGACAUCUGUUUGGAUGGUAGCCAUCUUAGGACAGCUUAGAAUGUUCCAGAAAGUUUAGGAUAUUGCUUUUUAAAAGCAAAAGUUUGGGAAGUUCUUUUAAUGGCCCAAGAUAGUAAGUAUUGUUAAUAUUGUCUUUAGUUUUGCAACUAUGUUGCUUCUGUGUGUGAAAAGCAAUGUAUCAGCAAAUGAACAUGGUUAUAUUCCAGUAAAACAUAACUGAUGAACACUGACAUUGGAAUUUCAUUGGCAUUUUCAGAGUCGACAUUCCCAAAUGUUUGAAAGCUUAAGAUUUUCCCAAGGAACACUUACAGAGAUAGCGGAAUAUUUCUGACCUCUGAAGUUUAGGCCUUGAGGCUUGAAAAGCAUUAGUCCCAGUAUCAAAAUAUAUCUUCACACUUUUUACAUAGUCCUCCUGGGUUAGCCUUCUAAGUAUAGAUUCAUGAACCACAUGACAAUCUUAUUGGUAUUCCUUAUUGUAGAGGAAUAAGGUGACUAAAUUAUCCUGAAGAAACAGAACAUCCUUAUUUCUUAUCCCUGGGUUUAUAUGGCUUCUAUCAUAGUGUUUUUCUCUGUUUAUAGGGAGCUUAAAGUGAAAUUUAAUCAUGUGUAUGACAUGUAUGUGUCUGCCUCUGGAGGGCAGAAGAGGACUUUGAAUCCCCUGGAAUGAGUGCUGAGAACUUAGUGAUCUAGAGGACCAGCAAGAUUAACCACUGAGCCAUCUGUCCAGAUAAAACACUUUUUGAGAUAGGUCCUCUUUUUUUUGGUUGGCCUCAUACUCAAACUGCCUCCAUCCCUGAAGUGCUGGAAUAAUAGGUGAGGACUAUCACAUCUGGCAGAUUCUGCAGCCUCUGUCUCCUGAGUUAUGGAAUUACAGAUGCCACAUCUGGUUGAUCACAGUUUUGGAGACAGUCUUAUGUAACCAAGACUGGCCUUAAACUUAAUACAGAACAGUAACCUACUGUGUCUUGAAAGCAUUCGGAUACCUGCAAGUACCACCAUGCCCUUCCUGCAGCAAUUUUAAUUUUGUAUCUGCAUUAAGUGUGGGAAUGCAUAUGCUACUCAACAGUGCUAAUGGGCAUCAGAGGGUAACACGUUUUGCCACAUGAGUCCUGGGAACUAGGUUGUCAGGCUUGCCCAGAGGCAGCUUUACCCAGUAAGCCUCCGGCAGGAAAUUGGGUCUUAGACUGUUGAGGCUGCCUUCCUGGCCAUGGGUAGGGAUGCCCACAGCAUAGUUUACUGUGAUUUUGAAAGAGGAUAAUACUGUGGCUAUUAAUGCAUGGAUUCACUGGCCUAGGUGGUUUCAAUGCCAUAGAUAGUGCAAUUAAAGCAAUUUUAAUGGGAUUUUCUAAUUGAUAAGUGGAGUUAAUUAGUUUAUUAGUUGAAUCAUUAAAGCAUUCAAAACAA
Long non-coding RNA from Grammomys surdaster, 1913 nucleotides. RefSeq lists it as uncharacterized. NCBI's taxonomy places the organism in Eukaryota, Metazoa, Chordata, Mammalia, Rodentia, Muridae. The transcript is spliced from 4 exons. The record is from RefSeq and is a predicted model, not a curated record.